GCAUAGGAUAGGACUGCGGCUCAUCAGGCUGUUGUCGGUGUAAUGAACCGGCAAACCGAUAACGAGUACGGGCUAUGGAAGUAGGAGCCCGGAGAUGGAUUCUGAGACAUGAAUCCAGGUACUACGGUACGCAGCAGUUACGAAAACUUUACAAUGCACUAACGUGCGAUAAGGGAAACUGGAGUGCUCUUGCUUUGCAAGAGCUUUUGCCUACUGAAAAUAGGUAGGUGAAUAAGGGGUGGGUAAUACGGGUGCCAGCCGCCGCGGUAAUACCCGAGCCCCGAGUGAUAGCCGCUAUUAUUGGGUCUAAAGCGUUCGUAGCCGGUUCUAAAAGUCUCUGGUGAAAUACUACAGCAAACUGUAGUGCGUGCUGGAGAUACUUUAGGACUUGAGACCGGGAGAGGACAGGGGUACUCUUGGUGUAGGGGUAAAAUCCUAUAAUCCCAAGCGGACCACCUGUGGCGAAGGCGCCUGUCUGGAACGGGUCUGACGGUGAGGAACGAAAGCUAGGGGAGCAAUCGGGAUUAGAUACCCCGGUAGUCCUAGCUGUAAACAAUGCCCGUUUGGUGUUACAAAUCUCUCGGGGGUUUGUAGUGCCGGAGCGUAGGUGUUAAGCGGGCCACCUGGGAAGUACAGUCGCAAGGCUGAAACUUAAGGGAAUUGGCGGGGGAGCACACAAGGGGUGGAGGCUG
RNAcentral lists this ribosomal RNA (692 nucleotides) under uncultured archaeon. RNAcentral's name for it is "bacterial SSU rRNA". It matches the Rfam family "Archaeal small subunit ribosomal RNA", at positions 202 to 897 of the family's 1478-position model. The record is from RNAcentral.